UCUCUAAUCGUUCACGAGUCGAUGACGAAGUUAGAGAACUACAUUAGGAUUCGAUUCGAGAACGAUUAGAGAAACUACGCAAAUUCAAUGGUCGGCACGAUGCUAAGUUGUGUUAUCGACUAUCGAUUUAUAGCUACGAUCGUCCUUAUUUUAGACAAAAACGCAAUUGUUCGAGCAAAUUGAGUGCCGCUUCAAAAUUUAAAGUAAAUACAUAUAAUUAUUUCACGUAAUAAAAUGAAUAGAAAGAAAUUUAGAAGUGAGAGUGAGCAAAUAGUAAAUUUACUGUUUGAAAGUAAAAGUGAUGAUGAGCAUCCAGAAUGUGAAGCGUUGCUAGGAGAAGAAGAGCCACACGACAGGCCAGGAUGCAGCAGAACAUUUGAUGAGCCAGAUGAAUUCAGCAUUUCUUCAAGCGAAGAUGAUACGGAUGACUGCAUUAAUGCAAAUAACGAUUUACGGAAGGACUUGACAGAAUGGACUGUUAAACAUAAUAUAACUAACGCGGAAAUAGAUGAUUUGUUAAAGAUUCUAAGUAAACGCAUUACAGGGCUUCCUUUGUGUGCCCGAACUUUGAAAAAUACUCCAAAGAGUGCCCCAAAGGUCAUAAUGGGUCCCGGGGAAUAUGUACAUUAUGGGGUUGAAAGUGCUUUAACUGACUUUUUAUGUCGAACGGACUUUAGUGGCAAUUGUUUGAAUCUGAACAUUAAUAUCGACGGACUUCCAUUGGCAAAAAGCUCUAAUACUCAGAUAUGGCCAAUUUUAGUUAACGUACAUACAUCGGAUGACAUAAGAGUUAUAGGAGCAUACUGCGGGAACAGCAAAUCAACAAAUGUUAAUGAGUUUCUUAAAAUAUUUGUAGAUGAGUUAUUAGGGUUGUUGGAAAAAGGACUAAUUUUUAAAGAAAUGCGUUAUAAAGUUACUUGCCGGGCAUUUAUAUGUGAUGCACCUGCACGAGCAUUCGUUCUUGGUAUUAAAGGCCACUCUGGGUAUUCUUGUUGCCCGAAGUGUACACAAAAAGGCGAAUCAAAGUACCAUAAAAUCAUUUUCACAAAAGAAAAUAAUUCAAUUCGAACUGACGCAGAAUUUCGAGCACGAGUAGACAAAAGCCAUCAUGUUCUUUCAGAACCCAUGGUCAUCGAAAAACUUCCAAUAGAUAUUGUGAAGACAUUUGGUAUAGACUACAUGCAUGUGGUUUGCCUUGGAGUAACUAAGACUCUAUUAAUUGCUUUGCUAAUAAAACGCAGCAAAUCAUAUUCCCUUAAACCAACGCAAAUUAAAUUAUUAGAUUCAAGCCUUCAAGCUUUAUACAGUCAAGUGCCGCGGGAAUUCGCUAGACGACCUAGAUCGCUGAAAGAUUUAGAACGGUUUAAGGCAACGGAAUUUAGAUCUUUCUUACUUUAUUCUGGAAUAUUCAUACUGAAAGAUAUUUUAGAUCCUGUACGGUAUAACCAUUUCUUACUUCUCAGCUUAAGCAUAAGAAUACUUUUGAAUAAAGACUAUUAUACCAAAUAUAACACCUGUGCAAGUCAAAUGUUAGAUAAAUUUGUUGAAAGUAUGCUCGAAUGCUAUGAUGAAACGUUUUUAACUUUUAAUUUUCAUUGUUUGACUCAUUUGGCCCACGAGACCUUAUAUUUCGGAAGCCUAGAAACUUUCAGCGCAUUCAAAUUUGAAAAUUAUUUAUCAAAACUAAAGAGGAAAAUAAAGAAAUGCAAACAUGUCGCUGCACAGGUGUAUAAUAGGUUGGUUGAAAACAGCUUAGCCUCACAAAGUAUUGUAACAUCGUCAUGCGUCUUAAAAAAAGGAAAGGUAUUUACUUCUGUGACAACGCCAAAGAGCCUGACAAUUUCUAUAGCUUCAAUAAUAGUAUAUAUAAAUUGGUGGCUAUACAUGAUAAUACUGAAGUAAAACUAUCAGGGAAAGAAGUUCUUAAUUUACAAGACUUUUUUGAAACUCCUAUACGGUCAGGGAACCUGAAUAUCAAAUGUUGCAGGGAAUUGGAGAUUUCUACCACUAGGCGUUCAACAUUCAUUACAACAGAUAUCAAAAAUUAUAAAAUUUAAUAAUGAAUGCGUCAAUUUCUUUAUUCCUUUUAUCCAUUCCUAAUAAACGUUAAAGCGACAAACAUGGACUUUAAUACCAGUUUUACCAGUGCGACGAACGACACACCAAUAACAAGAAAAGAUCUUCAAAGUUUGCAAGAAAAAGUUUUAAAGCAGAUAAGGAAAUCCGAGAAAAAAUUUUUAAAGAAAUAGAUCACAACCAACAAUCAAUAAAGCGAAGCCUUACACGAAUUUUACAAGAAACCAAACAAAGGAAAUACAGCCAUAAAACAUCACGGAAUGAGAUUAUCCCCAAAACACCGUUUGACAACAUUGAGGAUGUUAAAAAAUUUGAAAAGGAAAUUCAGGACCAUUCUUCAAAAUACGAAAGUCUGUCCGAAGAACUUUCACAUAUAAUUUGUACGAGCAGUAAAAAAUUUAUUAAAAUGGCUUGGCGUAAAAUCGUUACCGAUAACGCAGCAAAAAAUUUAUGCUGGAAAGGGACAAACACCAAAGUGGCAGCAAGAAGUUUAAGCAUUACAGCUGCUUUAAAAAAUGCACUUUCGAUGAAAUUUCCUCAAUCCACAGACGACGAAUUCGCACGAACCUCCAUUACCUUUUUCCAGCAUGCAAAAGGACGACUUCAAAAACGCACUGUAUAUCAAAGCAAUAGAAAUAGUACUUUAGAAACUUACAAGAUAACUUCAUAAAAUCACAUACAUGUACUGCUAGUUUUUGCUGAACAAUCCAAACCCUGUAUAUAGCCAUUUUAAUUUUAAGUAAAA
Rhagoletis zephyria (snowberry fruit fly) is the source of this 2821-nucleotide RNA transcript. RefSeq lists it as uncharacterized. The record is from RefSeq and is a predicted model, not a curated record. NCBI's taxonomy places the organism in Eukaryota, Metazoa, Arthropoda, Insecta, Diptera, Tephritidae.